GAUGAACGCUAGCGACAGGCCUAACACAUGCAAGUCGAGGGGCAUCGGGACGUAGCAAUACGUUGCCGGCGACCGGCGGAUGGGUGAGUAACGCGUAUGCAACCUACCCGUAGCAGGGGGAUAGCCCGUUGAAAGACGGAUUAAUACCCCGUAACACAGGGGCUCCGCAUGGAGAUUAUUGUUAAAGGGUCAUUUCUUUUUCAGGGAUGGUCCGGCUGCGGAUGGGCAUGCGUUCCAUUAGGUAGUUGGUGUAGGUAACUGCUCACCAAGCCGACGAUGGAUAGGGGAACUGAGAGGUUGGUCCCCCACACUGGUACUGAGACACGGACCAGACUCCUACGGGAGGCAGCAGUGAGGAAUUUUGGUCAAUGGACGCAAGUCUGAACCAGCCAUGUCGCGUGAAGGAGGACGGCCCUAAGGGUUGUAAACUUCUUUUGCAGUGGAAUAAAGUUUGCCACGUGUUGGCGAUUUGCAAGUACGCUGCGAAUAAGGAUCGGCUAACUCCGUGCCAGCA
RNAcentral lists this ribosomal RNA (514 nucleotides) under uncultured bacterium. Its description in RNAcentral is "bacterial SSU rRNA". It matches the Rfam family "Bacterial small subunit ribosomal RNA", at positions 28 to 513 of the family's 1533-position model. The record is from RNAcentral.